CCCUAUGGGGUGCAGCAGGCGAGAAAACUUUGCAAUGUGCGAAAGCACGACAAGGUUAAUCCGAGUGGUUUCUGCUAAAGGAACCUUUUGCCAGUCCUAGAAACACUGGCGAAUAAGGGGUGGGCAAGUUCUGGUGUCAGCCGCCGCGGUAAAACCAGCACCUCAAGUGGUCAGGAUGAUUAUUGGGCCUAAAGCAUCCGUAGCCUGCUUUGUUAGUUUUCGGUUAAAUCUAUUCGCUCAACGAAUAGGCUGCCGGGAAUACUGCAAAGCUAGGGAGUGGGAGAGGUAGACGGUACUCGGUAGGAAGGGGUAAAAUCCUUUGAUCUAUUGAUGACCACCUGUGGCGAAGGCGGUCUACCAGAACACGUCCGACGGUGAGGGAUGAAAGCUGGGGGAGCAAACCGGAUUAGAUACCCGGGUAGUCCCAGCUGUAAACUAUGCAAACUCAGUGAUGCAUUGGCUUGAUGCCAAUGCAGUGCUGCAGGGAAGCCGUUAAGUUUGCCGCCUGGGAAGUACGUACGCAAGUAUGAAACUUAAAGGAAUUGGCGGGGGAGCACCACAAGGGGUGAAGCCUGCGGUUCAAUUGGAGUCAACGCCAGAAAUCUUACCCGGAGAGACAGCAGAAUGAAGGUCAAGCCGAAGACUUUACCAGACAAGCUGAGAGGAGGUGCAUGGCC
RNAcentral lists this ribosomal RNA (677 nucleotides) under uncultured marine group I thaumarchaeote. Its description in RNAcentral is "bacterial SSU rRNA". It matches the Rfam family "Archaeal small subunit ribosomal RNA", at positions 321 to 999 of the family's 1478-position model. Lineage: Archaea; Thermoproteati; Nitrososphaerota. The record is from RNAcentral.